This 1486-nucleotide ribosomal RNA is filed under the name uncultured prokaryote. RNAcentral describes it as "partial 16S ribosomal RNA". It matches the Rfam family "Bacterial small subunit ribosomal RNA". The record is from RNAcentral.
AGAUUGAACGCUGGCGGCAGGCCUAACACAUGCAAGUCGAACGGAAACAUGUCUAGCUUGCUAGAUGAUGUCGAGUGGCGGACGGGUGAGGAACGCGUAGGAAUUUGCCUAGUAGUGGGGGAUAGCCCAGAGAAAUUUGGAUUAAUACCGCAUACACUCUACGGAGAAAAGCAGGGGAUCUUAGGACCAAGCUCUUGCUAUUAGAUUAGCCUAAGUGAGAUUAGCUAGUUGGUGAGGUAAAGGCUCACCAAGGCGACGAUCUCUAGCUGGUCUGAGAGGAUGAUCAGCCACACUGGGACUGAGACACGGCCCAGACUCCUACGGGAGGCAGCAGUGGGGAAUAUUGGACAAUGGGCAACCCUGAUCCAGCCAUGCCGCGUGUGUGAAGAAGGCCUUAGGGUUGUAAAGCACUUUCAGUAGGGAGGAAAAGUUAGUCGUUAAUAACGGCUAACCCUGACGUUACCUACAGAAGAAGCACCGGCAAACUCCGUGCCAGCAGCCGCGGUAAUACGGAGGGUGCGAGCGUUAAUCGGAAUUACUGGGCGUAAAGCGCGCGUAGGCGGCCUGAUAAGUUGGAUGUGAAAGCCCUGGGCUCAACCUAGGAACUGCAUUCAAAACUGUCAGGCUAGAGUAUGGUAGAGGAUAGUGGAAUUUCCUGUGUAGCGGUGAAAUGCGUAGAUAUAGGAAGGAACACCAGUGGCGAAGGCGACUUACUGGACCAAUACUGACACUGAGGUGCGAAAGCGUGGGGAGCAAACGGGAUUAGAUACCCCGGUAGUCCACGCCGUAAACGAUGUCUACUAGCCGUUGGGAGACUUGAUCUCUUAGUGGCGCAGCUAACGCAAUAAGUAGACCGCCUGGGGAGUACGGCCGCAAGGUUAAAACUCAAAUGAAUUGACGGGGGCCCGCACAAGCGGUGGAGCAUGUUGGUUUAAUUCGAUGCAACGCGAAGAACCUUACCAUCCCUUGACAUCCUGCGAACUUUCUAGAGAUAGAUUGGUGCCUUCGGGAACGCAGUGACAGGUGCUGCAUGGCUGUCGUCAGCUCGUGUCGUGAGAUGUUGGGUUAAGUCCCGUAACGAGCGCAACCCUUGUCCUUAUUUGCCAGCACAUUAUGGUGGGAACUCUAAGGAGACUGCCGGUGACAAACCGGAGGAAGGUGGGGACGACGUCAAGUCAUCAUGGCCCUUACGACCUGGGCUACACACGUGCUACAAUGGAACGCACAGAGGGCUGCAAAGGCGCGAGCUGGAGCGAAUCCCACAAAACGUUUCGUAGUCCGGAUUGGAGUCUGCAACUCGACUCCAUGAAGUCGGAAUCGCUAGUAAUCGUGAAUCAGAAUGUCACGGUGAAUACGUUCCCGGGCCUUGUACACACCGCCCGUCACACCAUGGGAGUGGGUUGCAAAAGAAGUGGGUAGACUAACCUUCGGGAGGUCGCUCACCACUUUGUGAUUCAUGACUGGGGUGAAGUCGUAACACGUAACC